RNAcentral lists this ribosomal RNA (1050 nucleotides) under uncultured Gallionella sp. RNAcentral describes it as "bacterial SSU rRNA". It matches the Rfam family "Bacterial small subunit ribosomal RNA", at positions 26 to 1076 of the family's 1533-position model. The record is from RNAcentral. Lineage: Bacteria; Pseudomonadati; Pseudomonadota; Betaproteobacteria; Nitrosomonadales; Gallionellaceae.
GGNNAAAUNCNNGGUUGCUUUCACAUGCAGUCGAACGGGUCAAGAAGCUUGCUUCUUGGUUAGUGGCGAACGGGUGAGUAAUAUAUCGGAACAUAUCCGGAAGUGGGGGAUAACGUAGCGAAAGUUACGCUAAUACCGCAUAUGCCCUGAGGGGGAAAGGGGGGGAUCGCAAGACCUCUCGCUUUCGGAGUGGCCGAUACCGGAUUAGCUAGAUGGUGAGGUAAAAGCUCACCAUGGCGACGAUCCGUAGCUGGUCUGAGAGGACGACCAGCCACACUGGAACUGAGACACGGUCCAGACUCCUACGGGAGGCAGCAGUGGGGAAUUUUGGACAAUGGGCGAAAGCCUGAUCCAGCCAUACCGCGUGAGUGAAGAAGGCCUUCGGGUUGUAAAGCUCUUUCAGCCGGAAAGAAAUUGCUUCUAUUAAUACUAGGAGUAGAUGACGGUACCGGAAGAAGAAGCACCGGCUAACUACGUGCCAGCAGCCGCGGUAAUACGUAGGGUGCGAGCGUUAAUCGGAAUUACUGGGCGUAAAGCGUGCGCAGGCGGUUUUUUAAGCCAGAUGUGAAAUCCCCGGGCUUAACCUGGGAACUGCAUUUGGAACUGGAAGACUAGAGUAUAGCAGAGGGGGGUAGAAUUCCACGUGUAGCAGUGAAAUGCGUAGAUAUGUGGAGGAAUACCGAUGGCGAAGGCAGCCCCCUGGGUUAAUACUGACGCUCAUGCACGAAAGCGUGGGGAGCAAACAGGAUUAGAUACCCUGGUAGUCCACGCCCUAAACGAUGUCAACUAGGUGUUGGGGGAGGAGACUUCCUUAGUACCGUAGCUAACGCGUGAAGUUGACCGCCUGGGGAGUACGGUCGCAAGAUUAAAACUCAAAGGAAUUGACGGGGGACCCGCACAAGCGGUGGAUUAUGUGGAUUAAUUCGAUGCAACGCGAAAACCUUACCUACCCUUGACAUGUCAGAAAGAUUGCAGAGAUGUGAUUGUGCCCGAAAGGGAAUCUGAACACAGGUGCUGCAUGGCUGUCGUCAGCUCGUGUCGUGAGAUGUU